Molecule: ribosomal RNA, 253 nt
Filed under: uncultured bacterium
Lineage: Bacteria
Description: partial 16S ribosomal RNA
Rfam family: Bacterial small subunit ribosomal RNA
Source: RNAcentral
UACGUAGGGUGCAAGCGUUAAUCGGAAUUACUGGGCGUAAAGCGUGCGCAGGCGGUUUUGUAAGUCUGACGUGAAAUCCCCGGGCUCAAGCUGGGAAUUGCGUUGGAGACUGCAAGGCUAGAAUCUGGCAGAGGGGGGUAGAAUUCCACGUGUAGCAGUGAAAUGCGUAGAGAUGUGGAGGAACACCGAUGGCGAAGGCAGCCCCCUGGGUCAAGAUUGACGCUCAUGCACGAAAGCGUGGGGAGCAAACAGG